CGAUAGUGAAACUAACUUCUACGAUGGAAGCAUGGAUGCACAGGAUGGCCUGGGUAUGGGAUUUGGUCUUCCAACUGAGAGUGAACGGUCCUUGAUGGAGCGUGUCAGGCACGAGCUGAAGCAUGAACUGAAACAGGGCUACAAAGAGAAGAUUGUCGACAUCAGGGAAGAGAUUCUACGCAAGCGAAGAGCUGGGAAACUCCCAGGAGAUACCACUUCUACCUUGAAGGCAUGGUGGCAGUCCCACUCCAAAUGGCCUUACCCGACGGAGGAUGAUAAGGCACGAUUGGUGAAGGAAACGGGAUUGCAACUCAAGCAGAUAAAUAACUGGUUCAUUAAUCAAAGGAAACGAAACUGGCACAACAAUCCAUCGUCAUCCACUGUAACAAAGAGCAAACGGAAGAGCAAUGCAGGUGACACCAACUCCGAACGCUACACAUAGUUGAAUGUUUGAUACUGAAGGCCAAAAGAGCCAUGUUUGCUAUUUCACGGGAUUUCACUAGAUGGUAAGUAAACAACAUAUAUUG
RNAcentral lists this unclassified non-coding RNA (527 nucleotides) under Hevea brasiliensis (rubber tree). Lineage: Eukaryota; Viridiplantae; Streptophyta; Magnoliopsida; Malpighiales; Euphorbiaceae. The record is from RNAcentral.